ACUGGCUUUGUGGUGCCACCAUAUAUAGUGCUCUUCUCAUUGACCACCAAUGAAAGAGGUGCCCCUUCAGGAAGUGUGGUUGGGGCUGGAUACAUGGGCUCAGGGGGCCACAUUGACUCACGGGACAUAGUUUGGGGACCCCUGCCCUAGACUAAGAUCAGAAUCAGACUGUGAUUUCUGGAAGCUGAUGAUUCUGUCUCCUCUGCUACUGGCUUUCAGGACUUGGCAAAGUGAACUAUUUUUGGCCUGGCUAGGACUUCACUUCAGCACAGACUUGAAAGGGCCAAACCUAUGGACUUCUGAGCCUUGCUUCAGGCUGGUGCCAGGGCAUAUGACUUCAAGGAGAGUUCUAAAGAAGGGUCCCAAUGCUUUGAAUGGACUCUAAAUAAAAGAUUUCUAUGAACUCAAUGGUCACAAGCUUAUCAGAAAGCAAUAUGGUAUGCUCUACAUCACGGUGGAGAGUGGGUGAUUUGACAG
RNAcentral lists this long non-coding RNA (477 nucleotides) under Monodelphis domestica (gray short-tailed opossum). RNAcentral describes it as "lncRNA (ENSMODG00000031019.2)". Lineage: Eukaryota; Metazoa; Chordata; Mammalia; Didelphimorphia; Didelphidae. The record is from RNAcentral.